UCCUUUUGUAGAUAAUUUAAGGUCUAGCCUGCCCACUGAAAUUUUAAAUGGCCGUGGUAUUUUGACCGUGCUAAGGUAGCAUAAUCAUUAGUUUUUUAAUUAAAAACUGGAAUGAAAGGUUGGAUGAGAAAAUAGCUGUCUCUAUUAAAUGUAAUUAGAAUUUUAUUUUUAAGUUAAAAAGCUUAAUUAUUAUUAAAAGACGAGAAGACCCUAUAGAGUUUGAUUGUUUAAUAAAAAUUAUAUUUUAGUAUUAAUUUAUUUAUUUUAUUAUAUAAUUUAAUUGGGGUGAUUGAAAAAUUUAAUUAACUUUUUUUAUUUAAGAACAUUAAUUUAUGAAUAAAUGAUCCAAUAUUUUUGAUUAUAAGAUAAAAUUACCUUAGGGAUAACAGCGUAAUUUUUUUAGAAAGUUCAUAUUAAAAAAAAAGAUUGCGACCUCGAUGUUGGAUUAAAAUAAAUUUUUGGUGUAGAAGCUAAAAUAUUAGGUCUGUUCGACCUUUAAAAUUUUACAUGAU
Molecule: ribosomal RNA, 512 nt
Filed under: Oreina speciosa
Lineage: Eukaryota; Metazoa; Arthropoda; Insecta; Coleoptera; Chrysomelidae
Description: partial 16S ribosomal RNA
Rfam family: Bacterial large subunit ribosomal RNA
Source: RNAcentral